This 22-nucleotide microRNA is filed under the name Gallus gallus (chicken). RNAcentral's name for it is "gga-miR-1452". Lineage: Eukaryota; Metazoa; Chordata; Aves; Galliformes; Phasianidae. The record is from miRBase by way of RNAcentral.
UUGAGAUAAGACAGAGGAUAUU